RNAcentral lists this ribosomal RNA (478 nucleotides) under uncultured bacterium. RNAcentral describes it as "partial 16S ribosomal RNA". It matches the Rfam family "Bacterial small subunit ribosomal RNA", at positions 28 to 523 of the family's 1533-position model. The record is from RNAcentral.
GACGAACGCUGGCGGCGUGCUUAACACAUGCAAGUCGAACGGUAAGGCCCUUCGGGGUACACGAGUGGCGAACGGGUGAGUAACACGUGGGUGAUCUGCCCUGCACUUCGGGAUAAGCCUGGGAAACUGGGUCUAAUACCGGAUAGGACUCCUGGCUUCAUGGUUGGGGGAGGAAAGCUUUUGCGGUGUGGGAUGGGCCCGCGGCCUAUCAGCUUGGUGGUGGGGUAAUGGCCUACCAAGGCGACGACGGGUAGCCGGCCUGAGAGGGUGACCGGUCACACUGGGACUGAGAUACGGCCCAGACUCCUACGGGGGGCAGCAGUGGGGAAUAUUGCACAAUGGGCGCAAGCCUGAUGCAGCGACGCCGCGUGAGGGAUGACGGCCUUCGGGUUGUAAACCUCUUUCAGCUAUGACGAAGCGCAAGUGACGGUAGUAGCAGAAGAAGGACCGGCCAACUACGUGCCAGCCGCCGCCGUAA